Pipra filicauda (Wire-tailed manakin) is the source of this 410-nucleotide long non-coding RNA. RefSeq lists it as uncharacterized. The transcript is spliced from 3 exons. The record is from RefSeq and is a predicted model, not a curated record. NCBI's taxonomy places the organism in Eukaryota, Metazoa, Chordata, Aves, Passeriformes, Pipridae.
AUCACACUCACAGCACACAGACACAAUUAAGGGCCAGGAACAGCUACCCUUAGUGGUCAUGACUUCCAAGGCACACAUGUGAGGGACACGUUAUUUACAAAGGUUUGCACAGAGAAUGAGGCUGACUGUCACCCAUGGUUUGGGUCAUCUGAAGGAUACCAUUUCUUGGAAGAGCUCUGUGAACUUCACCCAUGGAAGUAAUGAGGGGGGAAAAUUUAAAAGAGUUUAAUUAAUUUGCAUCCCUAAAGAACUGUGACAAAAAAUAACUAGGAGCACUGGAAUUGCCUCCUUUGCACAGCUCAUUGCAUCAGAAUUUUUUCUUAAUCUUUGCCUCUCCACUACAGUUUUGUUUGGCAUCUUAUGCGUGAAAUGCGCACUUUGCAUGAAAUAUAUACUUGAAGUUUCUACUA